AUUAUUUUAUAAUAUAAUUAUAAGAAAAUAAAUUCUAUUAUUUAUAAGCCAACAAGAGAGGACCAACACAACAAUGACUAAUUGUACCUCGCUUUUGCUCUCUCCAUCUUUCUGCCCUUUUUCCCUCUUUCACUUUGCUUUUUCUGCUGUCAUUUCUUCCUCCCACUUUCUCAUCACCUUCUUCAAUGAGCGGUGAGAUCUACUGAACUUCGUUUUGUUCUUGCUCUACUGAUGCAGUGAUUUUUUGAAAUCGUGUGCAGAUAGAAGUUACGGUGAAUUGUGAUAUACAAGGAAUUUAAAUCCUUAAAUUAUUUUUUAAUUCAUCUAUUUAUAUGGGCCAAAUAUAAAAAUAUUAAAUGAAUUUUUUAUUUGACCUACUAACUAUUAACUAUUUAAUAAAAAUUCACCAACAGGAUAUUCGUAGCUA
This is a long non-coding RNA of Solanum lycopersicum (tomato), 427 nucleotides long. RefSeq lists it as uncharacterized. NCBI's taxonomy places the organism in Eukaryota, Viridiplantae, Streptophyta, Magnoliopsida, Solanales, Solanaceae. The record is from RefSeq and is a predicted model, not a curated record.